CUCCCCAGCUGCAGUGUGGAGCACAUUUUUUAUACCUGGUCCUGCCCAGACUGUCUACUAUGAAGAAAUUAACUGUACCCCAGCUUAAACCAGGACAAGCUAAAAAAUAAGAUUAUCAGCCUAAUACAGUUACCCGAGACAGUAUGUUGGAAUAAAACAAAGAGAAACAAACAACAAGAAACAAACCAACAAGAAAACCUGUCUGACAGUAAGAUGUAUUUGUCUGGUGAUGAUUCGAGUGUAAUUUUGUCUCGUUGCUUUGAGAGAGUAGAGCUGCAUGUUCAUGUGUGGUCCCAGUAAUCAGGGUGUGGUCAGAUUUUUGAGCUCUGGGAAGGGGUUUUUGGAACAGUCCUGCUAAUUUCUUUAAGCAGACAGUUUUUCAUCCCACAAGAAAUAUUAUGAACUCAUGGUAUUUAUGGCUCUCAGUGUCUGCCAGUCCUCAUUGGAGUCAUCAGUACAGAACAAUUAUGUUUGCAGUGCUCAACUUCUCAGUGAUGAAGUCAGAUCUUUUCCUUGCUUAUUGAAUGAAUUCUCCUCUCUGCACAACUUCUGCCAAUGAUUCUCUUGAUGAAGGAAGAAGCGGGUAGAAGAAACUACGGUCUCCCAAUAGACCUCCAUUCCACAUAAGUGUCAGAUAACAGGCUCAAGCACAGUGUGGACCCAGCAGGUUCCAGACAGGAAUGUGAUAACCAGAAGUACCAAGUGUUUCACUGAAACAAGAAAAUCUGUAAUAGGACCUACUGGAUAAUUUAUUCACAAGGAGUUUCUCUGCACUUUUCUCCCUUUUAUGAGAGGCUGUCUUGCACUUUAACUGUGAUCAUUAGAGACUUUCUCUAAGAUUUUUUGUUAUUAUUAUUUUGUUGCAUAAACAUCUACCUGCCUUGAGAGAUUUGUUAUGUCUUUUUCUCUCUCUCUCUCUCUUUUUUUUUUUUUUUCCCCCCGUGGAAUUUGUUUCAAGUUCCAUAGACAAACAAUAAUAAAUCAUUUAGAUCGGGGCUUAUCCA
This 1004-nucleotide long non-coding RNA is filed under the name Anas platyrhynchos platyrhynchos (common mallard). RNAcentral's name for it is "lncRNA (ENSAPLG00000020361.1)". Lineage: Eukaryota; Metazoa; Chordata; Aves; Anseriformes; Anatidae. The record is from RNAcentral.